Molecule: long non-coding RNA, 861 nt
Organism: Passer domesticus (house sparrow)
Lineage: Eukaryota; Metazoa; Chordata; Aves; Passeriformes; Passeridae
Exons: 8
Source: RefSeq, a predicted model, not a curated record
CCAUGAUCCAUCCGAAAACAUGAGGCAAAUGCUGAAGGAAAUGCAGCAGGCAGGAGAAGAUGAGGUUGCUGGGAAGGCUUCUCCAUCAGCUUGGAUGAAUAAAGUUUUGAAGCCCUUGGAGCCUCCUGCAGGAAUGUUCUCAGUGUGCCACCAAGGAAGAACUGUAGACAAGCGGGCAGGAAGCAGGUGACAGAAGCUUCUGUGGCUGUUGUGUUACAGAUGUGUCUACAGGGAGGACUUCUCCAGCUUCUCCAGCUCCUACCUUGGAUGCUAUACGCAAGCGCAGCUCCCAUCACAGGGGUACUCCAACAGGGAAAGUCCAAGAUACAACAGAUAAGAUAUCCAUGGAACCAUCCUAACGGAUUAGGCAAGAGCUGAAGGAACCCCUGCAGACAAGAGAAGAGAUGGACAUAGUGCUUCAGUGGAAGGUGGCAUUUCUUGAAGGAAGCACUCCAUCUUUGGUGCCAGCCCCUGCUGCAGGAAGGAAGGCAAAGCCAGACACGGGCACAGGCACAGCAGACUGGGAUGCUGGGAAGGAUUCUCCAUUAGCCUGGCGCUCUGAAGUUGUGAAGCCCUCCGAGCAUUCUGCAGGCGUGUCUGCAGGGACGACCUCACCAACUCCUACCUUGGAUGCUGCACAGAAGCCCAGCUCACAUGGCAGGGGAGAGACCAAAGACAUGGCAGGCAAGAAAUUCCAGGACCCAAUAGAAAUUACGUGGCAAAUGCUGAAGGAAUGUCUGCAGAGAUGAAAAGAAAUGAAAGGAGAGCCUGUGCAGAUGGAAGCAUUUCCUGGAGGAAGCAGUAGUUCCGUGCCAGCCUCAGCUCCAGGAAGGGAGGCCAGGCCAGGCACAGGCAGAGGAG